AAUGCGUAGAUAUCGGGAGGACACCAGAGGGGGAGGCGGCGCACUGGACAACAACUGACACUCAACUGCGAAAGCGUGGGAGCAAACAGGAUUAGAUACCCUGGUAGUCCACGCUGUAAACGAUGGAUACUAGACGUGGUGGGUCUUGACCCCUGCCGUGUCGAAGUUAACACAAUAAGUAUCCCGCCUGGGGAGUACGGUCGCAAGACUAAAACUCAAAGGAAUUGACGGGGGCCCGCACAAGCGGUGGAUCAUGUGGUUUAAUUCGAAGCAACGCGAAGAACCUUACCUGGGUUUGACAUCCUCUGAAGUUAGUAGAGAUAUUAACGGCCCGCAAGGGACAGAGAGACAGGUGCUGCAUGGCUGUCGUCAGCUCGUGUUGUGAAAUGUUGGGUUAAGUCCCGCAACGAGCGCAACCCUUGUCUUUGGUUGCCAUCAUUAAGUUGGGCACUCCAGAGAGACUGCCGUCGUCAAGACGGAGGAAGGUGGGGAUGACGUCAAGUCCUCAUGGCCUUUAUAUCCAGGGCGACACACGUGAUACAAUGGUAGGUACAGAGGGUAGCGAAGUGGUGACACGAAGCCAAUCCCAAAAAGCCUAUCUCAGUUCGGAUUGGAGUCUGCAACUCGACUCCAUGAAGUUGGAAUCGCUAGUAAUCGCGGAUCAGCACGCCGCGGUGAAUACGUUCCCGGGCCUUGUACACACCGCCCGUCACACCAUGAGAGCCGACUCAACCAGAAGUCGCUGCUGUUAACCGUAAGGAAACAGGCGCCGAAGGUGGGGUUGGUGAUUGGGGUGAAGUCGUAACAAGGUAACCAAGGG
Molecule: ribosomal RNA, 820 nt
Filed under: uncultured bacterium
Lineage: Bacteria
Description: bacterial SSU rRNA
Rfam family: Bacterial small subunit ribosomal RNA
Source: RNAcentral